RNAcentral lists this unclassified non-coding RNA (323 nucleotides) under soil metagenome. RNAcentral's name for it is "partial contains 5.8S ribosomal RNA, internal transcribed spacer 2, and large subunit ribosomal RNA". The stretch from base 1 to 120 matches the Rfam family "5.8S ribosomal RNA", at positions 35 to 154 of the family's 154-position model. The record is from RNAcentral.
GAUGAAGAACGUAGCGAAAUGCGAUAAGUAGUGUGAAUUGCAGAAUUCAGUGAAUCAUCGAAUCUUUGAACGCACAUUGCGCCCCUUGGUAUUCCAUGGGGCAUGCCUGUUCGAGCGUCAUUUGUACCUUCAAGCUUUGCUAGGUGUUGGGUGUUUGUCCUGAGGGACUCGCCUUAAAGUAAUUGGCAGCCAGUGUUUGGUUUUGAAGCGCAGCACAAGUCGCGAUUCAAAGCUAUACGCCCGCUUCCACAAGCCUUUUUCACUUUUGACCUCGGAUCAGGUAGGGAUACCCGCUGAACUUAGGCAUAUCAAUAAGCGGAGGA